Molecule: ribosomal RNA, 339 nt
Filed under: uncultured bacterium
Lineage: Bacteria
Description: bacterial SSU rRNA
Rfam family: Bacterial small subunit ribosomal RNA
Source: RNAcentral
GAUGAACGCUAGCGGCAGGCUUAACACAUGCAAGUCGAGGGGUAUUGGUUUUCGGACCAAGAGACCGGCGCACGGGUGCGUAACGCGUAUGCAAUCUACCUUUUGCAGAGGGAUAGCCCAGAGAAAUUUGGAUUAAUACCUCAUAGUAUAGUACUUUGGCAUCAAGGAACUAUUAAAGUCACAACGGCAAAAGAUGAGCAUGCGUCCAUUAGCUAGUUGGUAAGGUAACGGCUUACCAAGGCUACGAUGGGUAGGGGUCCUGAGAGGGAGAUCCCCCCANACUGGUACUGAGACACGGACCAGACUCCUACGGGAGCAGCAGUGAGGAAUAUUGGACAA